This is a long non-coding RNA of Camponotus floridanus (Florida carpenter ant), 389 nucleotides long. RefSeq lists it as uncharacterized. The transcript has 3 exons. The record is from RefSeq and is a predicted model, not a curated record. Lineage: Eukaryota; Metazoa; Arthropoda; Insecta; Hymenoptera; Formicidae.
UGGGCAGCGCCAGCGAGACAUCACUUAGAAAUGCUUUACGAGAUAUCGCACAGAGACAAGAUCGAUCGAGACUGGCGCCAGGAGGACGCGACGCGGAUCAAACGAACCGAAGGAGAAGGGCCGACCGCGCGCUUUAAUCCUGGCUGCUGAUGCUUUCACCCCCGGUCCGCGUAAAGGUCGCUGAUCAUCCCUCGAAUGGAUGGACGAUCCUGUACGCGACUUAGGCGUCGAGACGCGACAUCGUAAAGGCUGUGAUGGCGAAUGCGUCGUCAUGCUCCUUUCCUUUCUUGCUCUUCCGGAUCGUAGGCGGACCGUUCCAGAAAAUCCGGCAACCACCAACUGCGGGAGCACCUGAUUUGCAAGAAACUUUAAACUCGGGAAUUUGCUGC